CCGAUACUAAUUAAUUUAAUUAAAAUUUUUGAAAUUCAAUUCAUUAACUAAUUUAAUAUAACAUCUUGUAUUAUAGAAUAAACUAAGUUUAAGAUAAGAAAAACAAGAAGAAUCAAAUUUGGAAAUAAGGAAGGAAAUCUGGAUUUCAAAUGUGAGUUUUGUUCAUUUUCAACGGUCAUAACUCCAAGCUCAGGAAAAGUUUGUAUGAGUUAUUUAUAUGCAUGGAAACAUCGUCGGAAGAUCUUUUCAACGACGUCAAGUUUGCAAAUUCUGAGGUUGUAUGAGAAAGAUAUGACUUUCGGAAGUUGGGUUGUUGAGCAGGAAAAGUUCCAAAUUCGGAUUUGUUAAGGGUGUUUUUUUUUUCUUCUAAAUUUAUUAUAUUUUUGUUUUAGGGGUAAUAAGUUGGGGUCUAAGUUGAUCCCAAUUAGUUUUCACAUUUAGAAAAUAAGCUAUGACUUGGAGAGAAAAGAGAAAAAGAGGAGAAGGGAGAAGAAGAUGCAAGAACGCCAAGAAUUCGUUCGUGGAUUUCGUCUGGGUUGAUCCCUAACAAGACGCAGGUAAUUGGGAUCAGUAGGCGGCGUUUCGUUGAUCCAGAUUGAGCUGCAGAGUCAGUGGUGAGCCUCCUUGCAUUUCAGAGGACAUCCAUUUCUUUUGUUUUUAGUAGUUUAGUUUUAUGAUGUCGUGGGACUGUCCCAACAUCCUUCUUCAGUCAGUUUAAAGGCUUCAUAGACACUAGUAUUUCAGUUCAGAGUUUAUUGUUGCUUGUUGAAACUCGAUUGCCGUCAUGGCCAGAUAUCAUAAAAUACUUUCCUUUAA
Solanum lycopersicum (tomato) is the source of this 816-nucleotide long non-coding RNA. RefSeq lists it as uncharacterized. The record is from RefSeq and is a predicted model, not a curated record. NCBI's taxonomy places the organism in Eukaryota, Viridiplantae, Streptophyta, Magnoliopsida, Solanales, Solanaceae.